Molecule: ribosomal RNA, 484 nt
Filed under: uncultured bacterium
Lineage: Bacteria
Description: partial 16S ribosomal RNA
Rfam family: Bacterial small subunit ribosomal RNA
Source: RNAcentral
AUUGAACGCUGGCGGCAUGCCUUACACAUGCAAGUCGAACGGCAGCACGGGGGCAACCCUGGUGGCGAGUGGCGAACGGGUGAGUAAUACAUCGGAACGUGUCCUGUAGUGGGGGAUAGCCCGGCGAAAGCCGGAUUAAUACCGCAUACGCUCUACGGAGGAAAGGGGGGGAUCUUAGGACCUCCCGCUACAGGGGCGGCCGAUGGCAGAUUAGCUAGUUGGUGGGGUAAGGGCCUACCAAGGCGACGAUCUGUAGCUGGUCUGAGAGGACGACCAGCCACACUGGGACUGAGACACGGCCCAGACUCCUACGGGAGGCAGCAGUGGGGAAUUUUGGACAAUGGGGGCAACCCUGAUCCAGCAAUGCCGCGUGUGUGAAGAAGGCCUUCGGGUUGUAAAGCACUUUUGUCCGGAAAGAAAACGCCGUGGUUAAUACCCGUGGCGGAUGACGGUACCGGAAGAAUAAGCACCGGCUAACUACGUG